Molecule: ribosomal RNA, 429 nt
Filed under: Bacteroidota bacterium
Lineage: Bacteria; Pseudomonadati; Bacteroidota
Description: Bacteroidetes bacterium partial 16S ribosomal RNA
Rfam family: Bacterial small subunit ribosomal RNA
Source: RNAcentral
UAGGGAAUCUUCGGCAAUGGGGGGAACCCUGACCGAGCAACGCCGCGUGAGUGAAGAAGGUUUUCGGAUCGUAAAGCUCUGUUGUUAAGGAAGAACGAGUGUGAGAAUGGAAAGUUCAUACUGUGACGGUACUUAACCAGAAAGGGACGGCUAACUACGUGUCAGCAGCCGCGGUAAUACGUAGGUCCCGAGCGUUGUCCGGAUUUAUUGGGCGUAAAGCGAGCGCAGGCGGUUAGAAAAGUCUGAAGUGAAAGGCAGUGGCUCAACCAUUGUAGGCUUUGGAAACUGUUUAACUUGAGUGCAGAAGGGGAGAGUGGAAUUCCAUGUGUAGCGGUGAAAUGCGUAGAUAUAUGGAGGAACACCGGUGGCGAAAGCGGCUCUCUGGUCUGUAACUGACGCUGAGGCUCGAAAGCGUGGGGAGCGAACAGG